This 726-nucleotide ribosomal RNA is filed under the name Neoramia janus. RNAcentral's name for it is "eukaryotic LSU rRNA". The stretch from base 468 to 726 matches the Rfam family "Eukaryotic large subunit ribosomal RNA", at positions 665 to 898 of the family's 3401-position model. The record is from RNAcentral. Lineage: Eukaryota; Metazoa; Arthropoda; Arachnida; Araneae; Agelenidae.
AUUCAGUCCGGAGCGGCGGACGUGCAGGUCGGAAAACCAGAGCAGGGNAUCCCCAGACGGGGGCCGUCCGACCGCACGAAGUCCCGCUGCACCGGACGCAUUUGUCUCUCGUCCCGAGGACGCCGCANCCGGUUGGGUAGCGCAAGCGCGACGGCCUGAGGGGCGGAAGAUGGCNGGUGGCCGGUGGCGUGCCUCGUGCGCGUCGCCGGUUGUUAGCCGUUCCGUCAGUGGCUCGUCACCCGACCGUGGUGUCGCGAGGCCCUUCGGGGUCUCGACGCCUCCUCCCCCCAAAAGGGAAGUUCGGGACANNAGUGCCNGCAGUUGGUCGACGCCGUCCCGUUUCGCACCCCACUAGGGGUGGUCGGGCGAGCGUGCUUGGCCUCCGAUCGCGGUGCCGGGCCCGUCGGGAGGCUGGAGGCUCGCGGCGAGUAGGUCGGUCACCCACCCGACCCGGUCUUGAAACACGGACCAAGGAGUCUAACAUGCGCGCGAGUCAAUGGGUCUUGAACAGGCCCAGAGGCGCAAUGAAAGCGAAGGUCGGCGGACGCCGACCGAGUUGGGAUCCGUCCCCCANGGGGCGGGCACCAACGACCCGUCUAUCCGGCUCGCCGGUUGGGCGGAGUGUGAACCCACACGUUGGGACCCGAAAGAUGGUGAACUAUGCCCGGACAGGACGAGGCCAGAAGAAACUCUGUGGGAGGUCCGCAGCGGUUCUGACGUGCAAAU